UGCCUACGGGGGGCAGCAGUGGGGAAUCUUCCGCAAUGGACGAAAGUCUGACGGAGCAACGCCGCGUGAGUGAAGAAGGUUUUCGGAUCGUAAAGCUCUGUCGUUUGGGACGAACGUAUUCUGUGUGAAUAAUGCAGAGUAAUGACGGUACCAAAGGAGGAAGCCACGGCUAACUACGUGCCAGCAGCCGCGGUAAUACGUAGGUGGCAAGCGUUGUCCGGAAUUAUUGGGCGUAAAGGGCGUGUAGGUGGGUUUUUAAGUCGUGUGUCUAAGUGCGGGGCUCAACCUCGUAUGGGCGCAGGAAACUGGGAACCUUGAGUGCAGGAGAGGAAAGUGGAAUUCCCAGUGUAGCGGUGAAAUGCGUAGAUAUUGGGAGGAACACCAGUGGCGAAGGCGACUUUCUGGACUGUGUCUGACACUGAGGCGCGAAAGCCAGGGGAGCGAACGGGAUUAGAUACCCGUGUAGUC
This 468-nucleotide ribosomal RNA is filed under the name uncultured Sporomusa sp. Its description in RNAcentral is "bacterial SSU rRNA". It matches the Rfam family "Bacterial small subunit ribosomal RNA", at positions 335 to 795 of the family's 1533-position model. Lineage: Bacteria; Bacillati; Bacillota; Negativicutes; Selenomonadales; Sporomusaceae. The record is from RNAcentral.